UAGGGAAUCUUCGGCAAUGGACGAAAGUCUGACCGAGCAACGCCGCGUGAGUGAAGAAGGUUUUCGGAUCGUAAAACUCUGUUGUUAGAGAAGAACAAGGACGUUAGUAACUGAACGUCCCCUGACGGUAUCUAACCAGAAAGCCACGGCUAACUACGUGCCAGCAGCCGCGGUAAUACGUAGGUGGCAAGCGUUGUCCGGAUUUAUUGGGCGUAAAGCGAGCGCAGGCGGUUUCUUAAGUCUGAUGUGAAAGCCCCCGGGUCAACCGGGGAGGGUCAUUGGAAACGGGGAGACUUGAGUGCAGAAGAGGAGAGUGGAAUUCCAUGUGUAGCGGUGAAAUGCGUAGAUAUAUGGAGGAACACCGGUGGCGAAGGCGGCUCUCUGGUCUGUAACUGACGCGGAGGCUCGAAGGCGGGGGGAGCAAACAGG
Molecule: ribosomal RNA, 429 nt
Filed under: Gemmatimonadota bacterium
Lineage: Bacteria; Pseudomonadati; Gemmatimonadota
Description: Gemmatimonadetes bacterium partial 16S ribosomal RNA
Rfam family: Bacterial small subunit ribosomal RNA
Source: RNAcentral